CAUCAGAAUAAAUUAUGGCUAAUUUAACGGAAACCCAACGAAUUGAAAUUUUGAUGAUGCUAGGGUACGGGAAUCGAGUGCGCACGCAAAAAGAAGUCAUGCAAUCCAAGUUUAUUUAAUUAUAGCAUUGGCUCCACUGUAUUAAAAAGACUAAGCGAGGUAAAAUAUUUUGGUAUAAUUUUGGAUAGCGAGUUAUUAUUGGUAUUACAUAUUGAAAAUCCAUACAAAAAGCGUAUAGAAGGAAGUGACUCAACAAAAAAAAAUCCAGAGGUGAAAGAUCAGGCAACCGCGUGGACCAUUCAAUACAGUUUCUUCGUCCAAUCCAGCGACCAGGAUAGUUCUCAUUUAAAUAAUUGCAGACAGCUAGUAAUGAGGAGGGGCACCAUCCUGCUGACCAAUUACCUCAAGUUUAACGUAUUGAUUGUUCUUGUCAUUUUCAAUUUAAUUUUUCGAUUUGUGCAGAAGAUGGUGGAAUUGUUAGCAAUCUCUGUGCAAAUUGUAAAAGUGAGAGAUGAUCUUCUAUUACCGACAUCAACCAAAUUAGUCCAAAAUUCUAAAUUUAUCCAAAUUUGUUAAUCCUUUACUAUAUAGUUUUACGUAAUAUAAAUCUGUGGACUUUUUUUUCUAUUUGAUUUUAAAUUUAUCUUUAUUUUAAAUGUGGAUGUAAGUAAAAAGUGAAUUAAUAAUGCAACAUUUUAAGGACAACUUUUAAAGUUCAGCAACAUCCACCAUAAAAUAAUCCUUUCUUUGGCAAGUAUUUAAUAUGUGAUGUCAGCCUUUUUUUUAUUAA
Anthonomus grandis grandis is the source of this 790-nucleotide long non-coding RNA. RefSeq lists it as uncharacterized. The transcript has 3 exons. NCBI's taxonomy places the organism in Eukaryota, Metazoa, Arthropoda, Insecta, Coleoptera, Curculionidae. The record is from RefSeq and is a predicted model, not a curated record.